AGAUGGCAUCAUGAGUCCGCAUGUUCACAUGAUUAAAGGUAUUCCGGUAGACGAUGGGGAUGCGUUCCAUUAGAUAGUAGGCGGGGUAACGGCCCACCUAGUCUUCGAUGGAUAGGGGUUCUGAGAGGAAGGUCCCCCACAUUGGAACUGAGACACGGUCCAAACUCCUACGGGAGGCAGCAGUGAGGAAUAUUGGUCAAUGGGCGAGAGCCUGAACCAGCCAAGUAGCGUGAAGGAUGACUGCCCUAUGGGUUGUAAACUUCUUUUAUAAAGGAAUAAAGUCGGGUAUGGAUACCCGUUUGCAUGUACUUUAUGAAUAAGGAUCGGCUAACUCCGUGCCAGCAGCCGCGGUAAUACGGAGGAUCCGAGCGUUAUCCGGAUUUAUUGGGUUUAAAGGGAGCGUAGAUGGAUGUUUAAGUCAGUUGUGAAAGUUUGCGGCUCAACCGUAAAAUUGCAGUUGAUACUGGAUAUCUUGAGUGCAGUUGAGGCAGGCGGAAUUCGUGGUGUAGCGGUGAAAUGCUUAGAUAUCACGAAGAACUCCGAUUGCGAAGGCAGCCUGCUAAGCUGCAACUGACAUUGAGGCUCGAAAGUGUGGGUAUCAAACAGGAUUAGAUACCCUGGUAGUCCACACGGUAAACGAUGAAUACUCGCUGUUUGCGAUAUACAGCAAGCGGCCAAGCGAAAGCGUUAAGUAUUCCACCUGGGGAGUAC
Molecule: ribosomal RNA, 711 nt
Filed under: uncultured bacterium
Lineage: Bacteria
Description: bacterial SSU rRNA
Rfam family: Bacterial small subunit ribosomal RNA
Source: RNAcentral